Molecule: long non-coding RNA, 412 nt
Filed under: Malus domestica (apple)
Lineage: Eukaryota; Viridiplantae; Streptophyta; Magnoliopsida; Rosales; Rosaceae
Description: long non-coding RNA (MDOM_LNC021162)
Source: RNAcentral
CUUGGAAUGGAUAGCAAAUGCAUGGGCCAAGUUGAUGGACGAAUUUGAGAACUAAAGAGGCCAAGAAUGUGAAGAAUUAUGGUCCAAAAGAUAAAGAAAACAGCCCAAAAAUCUGUCACCCCAACUUGCAUUCCUUGCCAUGCAAACCAUAUAGAAUUCCCUUUGGAUUCCAUGCCAUGCUUGAUCACUCUUGUCCCCUACAUAAUUUCUAAUUUCAUGCUUCAUUCAAUUCAUUUAAUUAUUACACUCAAUUGCUUGAUACCUCUUGUUCCCUUCACUCAUUAGAUUUUAGACAACAUUUACAUCCAUUACAUGCACCAAUUGAUGCUCCAUCAUUCACAUUUGGAAUCCUAUGCCUUGUGUACCACAUGUUGCUGCACCUUUGACCCAUUUAUUGACACAUUUUCACCUC